AUCAGCACUGGGCCAAGGCGUGGUUUACGGACCCGGUUUACAAUGAUCAAUGGAGCUAUGGGAACAGCAGACACCGCGAAGGAGCCUGCUGGCCUCCCAUCUGGAGCCUCACAGACACUGAAGAGAGCAGCAGCUGAGGGUGUAUUUCGAAGGCGGGGGAUGACUAGCAAGUAUGCGCCAGAUGAGACCUCCGGGGUGACCUGGAAUUACAGAGGCCACUCAUUCUCGGAAUAGGGUUAUGAAAACUGUAAUAUUGUAGAGAUGAAAAGGACCUAUGAAGACCACCUGAUCUGUCAACUUUCUCAAAAGACCACACCUACAUGUAGACAAGUAGGUGUGUGACCUUCAAAGCUUUAGGCUCUCAGAACUUCCGGUGUCUCACUAUAUCAUGAAAGGAAGUUCUUCCUUUUGUGUGACCUAUAUAGUACAUGUUGCGGGCAAGUCCCUCUCAUUCCUGGAAGCUCGCUCAUUGAUGCUGGCCAGGGGUCUCCCCACAGCUUUGGAUAGAUGUCUAGAACCCUCCCUUCACUGGAGCAGUAGGUGCAGGGGAAAAUUGGAUGUGCUGGAAGAGAGAAGUUGGCAUGUGGGCCAGCCUGGUACCUGCACCUGACCCCCACCAUCAACUUUGCACCCCCUUUCAUAUCCACAAACAUUUACUGAGCACCAGUUCAGGUCAAGUAUUGUACUGGGCAUAGGAAUGCUCAGAGGACCCUGAUGGACCUUGAGUGCCUUGAGAAGUUACAUAUAUAUAUAUUUACAUAUAUAUGUAAAUGGUGACAUUUAUGUAUACACAUAACAUAAAAUGUAUCAUUUUAACUAUUAACUAGUUCAGAGGCAUUAAGUACACUCACGUUGUGCAGCCAUCACCACCAUCCGUAUCCAGAACUUUUCAUCUUCCUAAAUUAGUUCUCUGAACUCAUUAAAUAAUAACUCCCCACUCCCAUCCUUCUCCCAGCCCCUGGCAACCACCAUUCCACUUCCUGUCUCUAUGGAUUUGACUACUCUAGGAAACUCAUAUAAGUGAAAUCAUACAGUAUUUGUCUUUUUAUGACUGGCUUGUUAUACUUAGCAUAAUGUAUUUAAGGUUCAUUCACGUUGUAGCAUGCGUCAGAAUUUCCUUCUUUUUUUUAAGGCUGUACCAAUGUGUGUGUGUAUAUAUAUAUAUAUAUAUAUAUAUAUAUAUAUAUAUAUAUAUACCACCUUUUAUUUAUUCACUCAUCCCUCUUGAUGGACACUUGGUUUGCUUUCACCCUUUGGCUAUUGUGAAUAAUGAUGCUAUGAACAUGGAUGUACAAAUAUCUGUUUGAGUCCCUGCUUACAAUUCUUUUAGGUAUAUACCCAGAAGUUGAAUUGCUGCAUCCUAUGCUAAUUUUAUGUGAAAUUCUUUAAGAACUGCCAUGUUAAUUUCCAUAGCAGCUGCAUCAUUUUACAUUCCCAUCAGCAAUGCAUAAGAGUUCCAAUUUCUCCACUUAGCUAACACUUGUUAUUUUCUAGGUUUUUUGGGGGUUGUUUUUGGUAAUAGCCGUCCUAAUGGGUGUGGCCUUGAGAGGGUUUAAGUUUGGGUCUUCAGGGCUCACAAACAGGAAAAAGUCAUCUAGAAAGUUCUCACCAAAGAAAUGACAUUUGACCUAGGGAUCUGAAUGGGCAAGAAUUCUCCAGGCAGGGCUUCCCAGGUGGCGCAGUGGUUGAGAGUCCGCCUGCCGAUGCAGGGGACAUGGGUUCGUGCCCCGGUCCGGGAAGAUCCCACAUGCCGCGGAGAGGCUGGGCCCAUGAGCCAUGGCCGCUGAGCCCGCACAUCCGGAGCCUGUGCUCCGCAACGGGAGAGGCCACAACAGUGAGAGGCCCGCGUACCGCAAAAAAAAAAAAAAAAAGAAAAGAAUUCUCCAGGCAGAGGAGGAGAAAGGGGUAACACUAAACAAUGGAGCAAAGGGAGACGAGAAAUUGCACAGCCUGUUUAGGAGCAGCAGGUGGUCAGCACAGGCUGGAAUGCAGGGUGUGCAGGGGAGAGUGUCAAGAUGUGGGGCGAAAAGCAGAUUUAAGGGCUAGACAUUCCACUAAGGCUUUGGACUUUGGGCAACAGGGAGCCAUUGGUAAUACUAUGUGAAAGUGCUGUGCAAACUUCAACACAUGAUAUAAAUGCAAGAACUUAGAACAAAAAAGAAAGAAAUGUUUUUAAAGAAAAAAAUGGGGACUCCCCUGUGGUUAAGAAUCCGCCUGCCAAUAUGCAGGGGACAUGGGUUUGAGCCCUGGUCCGGGAAGAUCUCACAUGCUGCAGAGCAACUAAGCCCGUGCGCCACAACUACUGAGCCCGCGUGCUGCAACUACAGAAGCCCAAGCGCCUAUAACCCGUGCUCCGCAACAAAAGAAGCCACUGCAAUGAGAAGCCCGUGCACCGCAACGAAGAAGAGCCCCCACUCACCGCAACUAGAGAAAACCUGCGCGCCACAACUAGAGAAAGCCUGCGCGCAACAGCAAAGACCCAACACAGCCAAAAAUAAAUAAAUAAAUAUUUUAAAAAAUAAA
This is a long non-coding RNA of Orcinus orca (killer whale), 2523 nucleotides long. RefSeq lists it as uncharacterized. The transcript is spliced from 3 exons. The record is from RefSeq and is a predicted model, not a curated record. NCBI's taxonomy places the organism in Eukaryota, Metazoa, Chordata, Mammalia, Artiodactyla, Delphinidae.